GAAUCAGCUCGGUACUCCGAAUGCUCUAUGAUUAUGAGUUUGAUCAUGGCUCAGAUUGAACGCUGGCGGCAGGCCUAACACAUGCAAGUCGAGCGGAUGACGGGAGCUUGCUCCUUGAUUCAGCGGCGGACGGGUGAGUAAUGCCUAGGAAUCUGCCUGGUAGUGGGGGACAACGUUUCGAAAGGAAGCGCUAAUACCGCAUACGUCCUACGUGGAGAAGAGCAGGGGACCUUCGGGUCCUUGCGCUAUCAGAUGAGCCUAGGUCGGAUUAGGCUAGGUUGGUGAGGUAAAUGGCUCACCAAGGGCGACGGAUCCGGUAANCUGGGUCUGAAGAGGGGAGCUGGAA
This 346-nucleotide ribosomal RNA is filed under the name uncultured bacterium. Its description in RNAcentral is "bacterial SSU rRNA". It matches the Rfam family "Bacterial small subunit ribosomal RNA", at positions 1 to 310 of the family's 1533-position model. The record is from RNAcentral.